This 21-nucleotide small nuclear RNA is filed under the name Arabidopsis thaliana (thale cress). Its description in RNAcentral is "snRNA_14741". The record is from RNAcentral. Lineage: Eukaryota; Viridiplantae; Streptophyta; Magnoliopsida; Brassicales; Brassicaceae.
AGCUCGUUUGAUUCUGAUUUU